RNAcentral lists this ribosomal RNA (264 nucleotides) under Acanthocheilonema reconditum. Its description in RNAcentral is "partial small subunit ribosomal RNA". The record is from RNAcentral. Lineage: Eukaryota; Metazoa; Nematoda; Chromadorea; Rhabditida; Onchocercidae.
GUAAAGUUUUGUUUAAACCGAAAAAAUAUUGACUGACUUUAGAUUUUUCUUUGGAAUAUGUGUUAGGAGAGCCCUCCUUAUUUGUUUAAUUUUUUUUGGCACAUGUAUGAUUGUUUUGUUAUUAUGUUAUUUGUAAUGCUUUAAACUUUUUUUGUUUUAAAACAGAUAUAUAUUUGGCUUAUAGAUUUUUUUUGCAUGUAUUACUAUUGUUAAUUUUCUUUGGAUAUUUUUUUUAUUUUUUUUUGAAAUUGGAAAAGAAAGUAA